UAAUCUAUGAGUUAUUUCUACACGUGUUUUCAUGAACUUAUCGCCAAUUCGAUAUGAAUUAUGAAACAGUAAUCAUUUAUAACAGGAAAUGGUUGUUAAACACUGGCGAUAAGAAUUCAAGGACCACAGAUAUCGAGAAUCCGCCUGAGACGUGAGCUCAAAGCUUCAUUGUAUAACAGCAGUUAGACGAGACCGUAUAGUUUUCCAGUGAACAAAACCUAGUAACCAAAACCGUUAUCAUUUCAUAUCAUAUCAGUAUUCAUAAUGACUGCUGGUAAAUAAAAUUGUAAUGCAGUAAUAUAAUAAUACAAUCAAA
Bombyx mori (domestic silkworm) is the source of this 316-nucleotide long non-coding RNA. RefSeq lists it as uncharacterized. Lineage: Eukaryota; Metazoa; Arthropoda; Insecta; Lepidoptera; Bombycidae. The record is from RefSeq and is a predicted model, not a curated record. The transcript has 2 exons.